This 331-nucleotide unclassified non-coding RNA is filed under the name soil metagenome. Its description in RNAcentral is "partial contains 5.8S ribosomal RNA, internal transcribed spacer 2, and large subunit ribosomal RNA". The stretch from base 1 to 120 matches the Rfam family "5.8S ribosomal RNA", at positions 35 to 154 of the family's 154-position model. The record is from RNAcentral.
GAUGAAGAACGCAGCGAAAUGCGAUAAGUAGUGUGAAUUGCAGAAUUCAGUGAAUCAUCGAAUAUUUGAACGCACAUUGCGCCCUUUGGUAUUCCUUAGGGCAUGCCUGUUCGAGCGUCAUUUAAACCUUCAAGCUCAGCUUGGUGUUGGGUGACUGUCCGCUUCACCGCGGACUCGCCUCAAAAUUAUUGGCGGCCGGUACAUUGGCUUCGAGCGCAGCAGAAACGCGAACUCGGGCCCGUCGUAUUGGCUCCCAGAAGCUAUCUUCACAAUUUUGACCUCGGAUCAGGUAGGGAUACCCGCUGAACUUAAGCAUAUCAAUAAGCGGAGG